AUGAACGCUGGCGGCGUGCCUAAUACAUGCAAGUCGCGCGAACAGACGAGGAGCUUGCUCCUCUGACGUUAGCGGCGGACGGGUGAGUAACACGUGGAUAACCUACCUAUAAGACUGGGAUAACUUUGGGAAACCGGAGCUAAUACCGGAUAAUAUAUUGAACCGCAUGGUUCCAUAGUGAAAUACGGUUUUGCUGUCACUUAUAGAUGGAUCCGCGCCGCAUUAGCUAGUUGGUAAGGUAACGGCUUACCAAGGCGACGAUGCGUAGCCGACCUGAGAGGGUGAUCGGCCACACUGGAACUGAGACACGGUCCAGACUCCUACGGGAGGCAGCAGUAGGGAAUCUUCCGCAAUGGGCGAAAGCCUGACGGAGCAACGCCGCGUGAGUGAUGAAGGUCUUCGGAUCGUAAAACUCUGUUAUUAGGGAAGAACAAAUGUGUAAGUAACUAUGCACGUCUUGACGGUACCUAAUCAGAAAGCCACGGCUAACUACGUG
This 496-nucleotide ribosomal RNA is filed under the name uncultured bacterium. RNAcentral's name for it is "partial 16S ribosomal RNA". It matches the Rfam family "Bacterial small subunit ribosomal RNA", at positions 29 to 507 of the family's 1533-position model. The record is from RNAcentral.